Molecule: transfer RNA, 71 nt
Filed under: Gemmatales bacterium
Lineage: Bacteria; Pseudomonadati; Planctomycetota; Planctomycetia; Gemmatales
Description: tRNA-Gln
Rfam family: tRNA
About the family: Transfer RNA (tRNA) molecules are approximately 80 nucleotides in length.
Source: RNAcentral
UACCCGGUAGUGUAACGGUAGCACAAGAGAUUUUGGAUCUCUUAGUCAUGGUUCGAAUCCAUGCCGGGUAG